UUUGCCCUGGCUAAAGCCUCGGCCUUUUCUUUUUUAUCUUUUUCUUCUUCUCCUCUCCUCAGCGCAUCAGGAGCAAAUAACCUUCCACUGCGAGUAAAACCGCUGGGACCGGCAUUAUCCACCUUUAGCACAGUGGUUUCACUUGCAGAUUGCUCUUCUAUCUUCUCCCCAUUACAGUAUACUUCCCCACCAUAAUGCCACGGCACGGCAUCAUCUUUGUCGUAGGGAAUUG
This 232-nucleotide long non-coding RNA is filed under the name Lathyrus oleraceus (garden pea). Its description in RNAcentral is "Pisum sativum (pea) long non-coding RNA (PSAT_LNC005553)". Lineage: Eukaryota; Viridiplantae; Streptophyta; Magnoliopsida; Fabales; Fabaceae. The record is from RNAcentral.